Molecule: signal recognition particle RNA, 98 nt
Filed under: Deltaproteobacteria bacterium
Lineage: Bacteria; Pseudomonadati; Myxococcota; Myxococcia
Description: signal recognition particle sRNA small type
Rfam family: Bacterial small signal recognition particle RNA
About the family: The signal recognition particle (SRP) is a universally conserved ribonucleoprotein involved in the co-translational targeting of proteins to membranes. Archaeal SRP consists of a 7S RNA and homologues of the eukaryotic SRP19 and SRP54 proteins.
Source: RNAcentral
GGCCGGGCCCUGCGCGACGCGAGGAUUACAAACCCCGUCAGGUCCGGAAGGAAGCAGCGGUAGUAAUUUCUCCGGGUGCCGCAGUAAGCCUGGCCUUU